AAAAUUGUUUUAUUUUGUAAUUUUAACUGGAGGGUUAGAGAAAUGGUUCAUGAUUAAAAAUGCUGGCUGUUCUCGCAGAAGACUCCCAAUGUAACAGGCCUCAGACCUUAGCACAUCUGACUCCAUUAUGGAAGUACUGCUCAGUUCAAAACUAAAGCAGAGGCCCAACCCGUCAAGGCCUGUAGUUAGGGGAAAGUCUCUCAAGUACUAACCUGGUUUUUUUUUAGCUUCUGUAGUUCCGUAUCUGGGUAACUGUUCUUGCUAACUGAGGUAUAUCGCCUCAGGAUGUGGUUUUGUGCUUAAAAACUCACCCUGAGAAAGGCUCCAGGCUAUACUGGGCUCUACACACAGAGAGACUGUAGUGCAGUCACUGGCCCAUAAAGACUUUGUCUGCUAAAACCUGUGUCUGAGUAAUCUCUGGUGGAUCCCCCACAACACCAGAAGCACAGGGCAGCUCACAGCCUCCUGUACUGUCAGGUCCAGCGGAUUCGAUGGCCUCUCCUGCCUUCAGUACACAUUGGGCACACACAUGUUGCACAGACACACAUGUAGGCAUACAACUCAUAUAUAAUAUUUUUUAAAUGUUGAUGAGAAGAAAACGCAUACUGCUCUCACAGGGCCUGAGUUUAGUUCCUAGUCCUUGCACUGGUGAAUCAAAGCCACCCACGGGUCUGGCUUUGGGGAUUUACUGCCGCCUAUGCUUGCACACAACUUAAAAAUAAAACAUUUAGCCGGGCGUGGUGGCGCACGCCUUUAAUCCCAGCACUCGGGGUAUCAUAUCUACUGGGGAGGUGACGGGAUAGGGUGCUCAUGUCCCCUUACCCAGGGUGGCAUCUGUGAUUUCUAGCAUGGGUCACUGUAACCUCAUUGAUUGAACACAGGCUGACUUUCAAAUGAAGACCUACAAAACCUCGGAUUUUGGGAAAGACAGUACCUGUCAACAGUAUUACUUAGUGAAGUAGGUCAUCCGACCAUGUGAUAGGCACAGGCCAUCUCCAUCCCAAACCUGGGACACUCGUGGCUCCUGUACAUCACAUUUCUCCUUAACCUGUCUGACACAAAAAAGAAGUGCUCUUCCGUUCAGCUCUAGCUACUCAUCUCAAGGCCAGAGAAGCCAGGCAGGGAGGAAGCUGGGGACCAGCCCAGUGGCUUCGCCAGCACUCAGUAGCACUUUCCUUCCUUAGGCCGCAUCGCCCUCUAUGAAUGAGAAGCAGCAUUGCAAGGGACACCUCUGAGAGCUGCCUCAGGACACACAGGUGAGAUGCAGAGAUGCCUUCAACAGCUGCUCCAGCAGGGUACACAAGGCAAACUUACAAUUUGGGAGGCAGAAGCAGGAGGAUCAGAUCAGCAUGAACUGGAAGUCAGUGAGGCUUGUUUCAAACCACCUGGAAGGGCUAAGCAGGGGAUUAUUCUAAACAAAGUUGCUCUAAUGUUGGGAUCUACAACCAUAAAAUGAACAUGGAGAUUCAGACGGCUGUCAAAACUGUAGGCCGGGGGGUGGUGGCACAUGCCUUUAAUUCCAGCACUUGGGAGGCAGAGGCAGGCAGAUUUCCGAGUUCGAGGCCAGCCUGGUCUACAAAGUGAGUUCCAGGACAGCCAGGGCUACACAGAGAAACCCUGUCUCGAAAAACAAACAGACAAAAAACAAAANNNNNNNNNNNNNNNNNNNNNNNNNNNNNNNNNNNNNNNCCCCCAGUGAGGGGCCUGGGAGCAUGGUUAGGGGUAAAAGGCAGAGAGUUGUCCUCUGACCUUCACACUCACAGUGGCUACACAACACACAAAAUACACAUUCAUGCAACAAAAGGAAAACCCCAUCUCAAAAGGAAAGAGAGUUGUCAGCUAUACUGAGUCUGCUUUCUAUGUCCUUUCAUGUUAUCUUGUAGUACCUGGGCCCUUCGAGGUCGAACAGGCUGUUAUCAAAGCUUGUCACCAGGCCAUAGUUCAGGGAGGGAGCUGGGCAGAAACAACAAGGAGCAGCCCGCAGUAUGGAGAGGACCACUUUAUUCUUAGGCUGGCACAGAGGUGGGAGUGAGUGAGGCAGGUGGACCCCUCCCUGGGCUGCUGGGAUUUGGCACGGUGGCCAAGUCUUACAGGUGAGGAAUACAUUCAGUCACGCCUUGAGGGCUGGGUAUUGGGCGCAGUGACUUCAGGAAGUACCCAGGGGUGUCUCUCAGCCCUGGGCUCAGGCAUCCAUGCUUAAACUGUACACAUUUAGUUUAGUGGCAACCUCUGGAAAAGUAACCAGAAUUCCUCAGGGUCUUUAGAGUGCAGGGGUCUCAGGGAAUGGCCAUGAGGCUCAAAAGUUGGAGCUGGGGACAGUCAUAUUCUGCUACACCCUCCAUGGCAUGACAGAGAGGGACCUGCUGGAGUUUGGUCCUGUGGCCCACAGGGGCCACACAACACACAAAGUUUUGCUACACAAGAGGCUGCCACUGAAGAAAGAGAGGUUCCUGUCACCACCUUCCAGGAACUGCAAAUCUCAGGGUGGUAGUCAUAAGUGAAUUCAUUACUGGAUCCCAGGUUAGACCGGACACUGUUCCCAGGAGGGUGGCCACUAGAAACCGGUUAACAGUAAUCCCAAAAAUCUCCAGAUGUGCUGGCUGACACUUGGGAGGCAGAGGCAAGUGGAUCUGUGAGUUCGAGCCCAGCCUGGCCUACAGAAUAAGUUCCAGGACAGCCUACAUAGUAAGAGUCUGUCUCAAAACAAAACCAAAAAUAUUUCUGAAUACUGGGUUUGGCACCUUACAUCUUUAACAAAGCACUUGGGAUGCAGAGGCAGGAGGAUCUCUGUGAGUUCCAGGCCAGUUUCAAAACCAAACCAACAAUGUAAAAAACGAAAGGAGAUGAAGCCAGCCGUGUUCACAACAGAGCCAGUCUGUGUGUGCGUUUGUGUGGCUGCGCACUGGGGUAGCCCAUGGCUGUCUAAUUCUCCCUGUCCCCUGGGCACCCUAUGUCUGGCUCUCCCAGGCUCCUCCAUGGGUGUGGGGGUCACACAUGUGCACUGAGGCUUAUGCAGCAAACACCUCCCCACUGUGCAGACCCUUAUUGGUUUUGUUUUGUUUCUUUAAGACAAGGUCUCUCUGUAUAGACCAGGCUGGCCUCAAACUGACAGAUCUGCCUGUUUCUGUCUCCUGACUAGGAUCAAAGGCCUGUGCCACCCCGCCUGGCUCCUUUACAUUUUUUUUUAAGACCAUCUUGUUAUGAGACCCUGGCUGGCCUGAUCAUUACUGUGGAGGUCAGAGUGGCCUCAAGUUUAUAGCAAUCCCCUUGCAGCUGCCUGCAGAGUCUUGGGAUCACAGGCAUGAAGUGUGUGCACCUUUCCUGACCUACAAAGACCCCCAGAACACCCAAUACUGGGAGUCCUGCCCUGGGGAUGCUGGGGGGGUGGCAUGGCACAUUAGUACAUCUUUGGAGGUAUGCUGGCUGCCUAUGUGGUCACCCACACACAAUGUGGCUGUAAACAGAAGACAUCUGGUGGCCCCUCCCCUUCCAGGUUGGCAAGUGAGGGACAAAGCUGUCUGGGCAGAGAGCCAUGGAGAAGGGACAAGUGGUGGUUAGCAGUGGUUCCAGAUCCUGCCUCCUGUCGGAGGCCAUGGCACAUACAGUGUAAACCCAGUGGCUGAAAGCACAGUGUCCAGGUUCAAGUUCAGCCCCUGGAUUCCGGCAAGGGGACGGGUUAGAGUCAGGGCCCCCAGUCACCAUGAGAAGGGGCGGAAGCUGUGGUCUUGCUGCUCCUCAGACAGUGGCGUGAGUGUGCGUGCCAUGCUUCUGAGACACGGGCUGCACACAGCUGUCUCCCCAAGUCUCAGCGGACGGGAGGGGCUCUCAGUGACACAUCCGUGAUGUCAUCUCUUUCUG
This 3858-nucleotide long non-coding RNA is filed under the name Mus caroli (Ryukyu mouse). Its description in RNAcentral is "lncRNA (MGP_CAROLIEiJ_G0004654.1)". The record is from RNAcentral. Lineage: Eukaryota; Metazoa; Chordata; Mammalia; Rodentia; Muridae.